RNAcentral lists this ribosomal RNA (374 nucleotides) under Diaporthe phaseolorum. Its description in RNAcentral is "partial large subunit ribosomal RNA". It matches the Rfam family "Eukaryotic large subunit ribosomal RNA", at positions 226 to 628 of the family's 3401-position model. The record is from RNAcentral. Lineage: Eukaryota; Fungi; Ascomycota; Sordariomycetes; Diaporthales; Diaporthaceae.
UGGUUGGACACCAAGCCUGUGUGAAACUCCUUCGACGAGUCGAGUAGUUUGGGAAUGCUGCUCUAAAUGGGAGGUAAAUCUCUUCUAAAGCUAAAUACCGGCCAGAGACCGAUAGCGCACAAGUAGAGUGAUCGAAAGAUGAAAAGCACCUUGAAAAGGGGGUUAAAUAGUACGUGAAAUUGUUGAAAGGGAAGCACUUAUGACCAGACUUGGGCCGGGCGGUUCAUCAGGGGUUCUCCCCUGUGCACUCCGUCCGGCACAGGCCAGCAUCGGUUUUCGUGGGGGGAUAAGACCGUCGGGAACGUAGCACCCUCCGGGGUGUGUUAUAGCUCGGCGGACGAUACUCUCGCGGGGACCGAGGUUCGCGGAUGCUG